RNAcentral lists this ribosomal RNA (699 nucleotides) under Salmonella enterica subsp. enterica serovar Infantis. Its description in RNAcentral is "bacterial SSU rRNA". It matches the Rfam family "Bacterial small subunit ribosomal RNA", at positions 816 to 1515 of the family's 1533-position model. RNAcentral also lists the same sequence under 1 other name. The record is from RNAcentral. Lineage: Bacteria; Pseudomonadati; Pseudomonadota; Gammaproteobacteria; Enterobacterales; Enterobacteriaceae.
CUUGGAGGUUGUGCCCUUGAGGCGUGGCUUCCGGAGCUAACGCGUUAAGUAGACCGCCUGGGGAGUACGGCCGCAAGGUUAAAACUCAAAUGAAUUGACGGGGGCCCGCACAAGCGGUGGAGCAUGUGGUUUAAUUCGAUGCAACGCGAAGAACCUUACCUGGUCUUGACAUCCACAGAAGAAUCCAGAGAUGGAUUUGUGCCUUCGGGAACUGUGAGACAGGUGCUGCAUGGCUGUCGUCAGCUCGUGUUGUGAAAUGUUGGGUUAAGUCCCGCAACGAGCGCAACCCUUAUCCUUUGUUGCCAGCGGUCCGGCCGGGAACUCAAAGGAGACUGCCAGUGAUAAACUGGAGGAAGGUGGGGAUGACGUCAAGUCAUCAUGGCCCUUACGACCAGGGCUACACACGUGCUACAAUGGCGCAUACAAAGAGAAGCGACCUCGCGAGAGCAAGCGGACCUCAUAAAGUGCGUCGUAGUCCGGAUUGGAGUCUGCAACUCGACUCCAUGAAGUCGGAAUCGCUAGUAAUCGUGGAUCAGAAUGCCACGGUGAAUACGUUCCCGGGCCUUGUACACACCGCCCGUCACACCAUGGGAGUGGGUUGCAAAAGAAGUAGGUAGCUUAACCUUCGGGAGGGCGCUUACCACUUUGUGAUUCAUGACUGGGGUGAAGUCGUAACAAGGUAACCGUAGGGGAACCUGC